UUUUGAAAAUAAUGUGUUCAUGUCAAAUAAAAUGACAGAAACCAAGCAGCUAAAAUGGAAGAAGAGUAUGAAACUGGGAGAAAGUAUAAUACUUACUGAUUGUACUUAUAGUUGUUACAUUGCUAAACUUGUUUCUGACCAUUCAUCCAGCUGGCAUGGUUGCAAAGAAUACUCGUUUGAAGUAACAUGAACAAAGGCAGGGAUUCCUGUUUCUUCUUUUGUUUAAAACUUUCAAAUUAUUAAACAGCCUAUUUUUCCUCCGUGGUCCAAAACACCGUAGCAGCCAGAACUCGAUUCAGCCUGGAGUCUCUGUCCAUGCCUACCAGCGUACCUUUUCCACAGCAGCAGGCUGGGGCCGGAAUUUCGUAUUGUGCUUUAAGAGCUGACGACCGCAGUUGCUGCAGUGCCGCAUGUCUAGCUGCUGCUGGCUCCUUGGCAGGGUGCUUGUCUGGGGCUGCAAAGUUGUUGAGAAGCUGCAGGUGAAUUUGCCUUGGAAACAAGCACACAGGAUAUUUAGACUUUUUUGCAGUCAGCUGGGGAGACUUCCCCUGCCCAUCUUAUCAAGAGCAGGAGCAUGUAAAUGA
Molecule: long non-coding RNA, 584 nt
Filed under: Apteryx rowi (Okarito brown kiwi)
Lineage: Eukaryota; Metazoa; Chordata; Aves; Apterygiformes; Apterygidae
Description: lncRNA (ENSARWG00000010041.1)
Source: RNAcentral